CGUAGGGUGCGAGCGUUAAUCGGAAUUACUGGGCGUAAAGCGUGCGUAGGUGGUGAGUUAAGUCUGUCGUGAAAGCCCCGGGCUCAACCUGGGAAUGGCGAUGGAUACUGGCUCGCUAGAGUGCGGUAGAGGAGAGUGGAAUUCCCGGUGUAGCAGUGAAAUGCGUAGAGAUCGGGAGGAACAUCAGUUGCGAAGGCGGCUCUCUGGACCAGCACUGACACUGAGGCACGAAAGCGUGGGGAGCAAACAGGAUUAGAUACCCUGGUAGUCCACGCCCUAAACGAUGCGAACUGGACGUUGGGAGCAAUCAGGCUCUCAGUGUCGAAGCUAAACGCGUUAAGUUCGCCGCCUGGGGAUACGGUCGCAAGACUG
Molecule: ribosomal RNA, 372 nt
Filed under: uncultured organism
Description: bacterial SSU rRNA
Rfam family: Bacterial small subunit ribosomal RNA
Source: RNAcentral